RNAcentral lists this long non-coding RNA (956 nucleotides) under Piliocolobus tephrosceles (Ugandan red Colobus). Its description in RNAcentral is "lncRNA (ENSPTEG00000012578.1)". The record is from RNAcentral. Lineage: Eukaryota; Metazoa; Chordata; Mammalia; Primates; Cercopithecidae.
AUGAAUUGUAUUAUAUAUAACAAAAAUGAAAAUAACAAAUGGGAAUGUACUAGUGUUAAUAUACCAACAGAAGAAUUGCCCACUUGUGUAUGUUGGCACCCAUGUUGCAAUUCAUUUGCUAUAGGAUUUUCAUCAGGCGUUAUAUUUAUAUGUUCGAGAAAGGAAAAACAAAAAUGGAGUAUCAAAAAAGUAUUAAACCAUACAGGAAGUAUUUUAUUUUUAGAGUGGAGUUCUUCAGGGUGCGUAUUAUCUACCAACUCCAUAGACUCAACAUCAUUACUUGUGUGUACGUUGGGCUUAUUUGAUAAGGAAUCAGAUAUUAAGACGUUUCAAAAUAUAGAAAAAAUUAUCAUUGAAAACAAUUUUAAAAAUAAUGACAUAAUAAAUAAGAUUGAAUGUAAAGGGUAUAUUAUAUGCCACAGCACUUUUUCUUCCUCAAAUGAAAAAGUUGCAAUCAUUGCUAACAGCUUUGAAAAUAAUAGCAAAAAACAACAAAUAAUAAUUUCUGAGUUUUUCAAAUCCUCUCCUAAUACCCAAUUUGUUACGUGGAUUGGUCAAGCACUACAAAAGUGUUUGUUUAUAGAUGAACAAAAAUUAUUAGUUUAUGGUUAUGAAAUGUUUCCAAUAGUAGUGGAACAAAUAAAUGGCUACUGGGCUAUUACUAAAGUUGUGUUACCCGAAUUUAAUGUUAAAAAUUUAUGUGUCGAUUUUUUUUAUGAUAAAAAAAAUAUUCAAGAUAUAGAAGCAGAGUGCGAAAAUAUGGAUGGGAAUGAAAUCGUAUCUGAAAUCAUAGCUCACUCUAAUAACAUUUUACAAAUGUCUUUGUUAAAACCAUGUGAGUAUAAAAAAUGUGGUGAGUUUGUAACAGUGUCCAGUGAUUUUAACAUAGUUAUUUGGAGUUUUAUUACGUGAAUAUAUAAAAUAAAUAGCUAGUAAAAAAACGUAAAUAAAUAAAU